UACGGGAGGCAGCAGUGGGGAAUAUUGGACAAUGGGCGAAAGCCUGAUCCAGCCAUGCCGCGUGAGUGAUGAAGGCCUUAGGGUUGUAAAGCUCUUUCAUCCGUGAAGAUAAUGACGGUACCUGUAGAAGAAGCCCCGGCUAAGUUC
This 147-nucleotide ribosomal RNA is filed under the name uncultured bacterium. Its description in RNAcentral is "partial 16S ribosomal RNA". It matches the Rfam family "Bacterial small subunit ribosomal RNA", at positions 340 to 504 of the family's 1533-position model. The record is from RNAcentral.